This 26-nucleotide non-coding RNA is filed under the name Homo sapiens (human). Lineage: Eukaryota; Metazoa; Chordata; Mammalia; Primates; Hominidae. The record is from RNAcentral.
UAAUUGGUAGACUUGAACAGGUUGGU